CGGGGCGUAGCUCAGUCUGGUAGAGUGCUUGCUUUGGGAGCAAGAUGUCGCAGGUUCGACUCCUGUCGCCCCGACCA
Molecule: transfer RNA, 77 nt
Filed under: Rickettsiales bacterium
Lineage: Bacteria; Pseudomonadati; Pseudomonadota; Alphaproteobacteria; Rickettsiales
Description: tRNA-Pro
Rfam family: tRNA
About the family: Transfer RNA (tRNA) molecules are approximately 80 nucleotides in length. Their secondary structure includes four short double-helical elements and three loops (D, anti-codon, and T loops).
Source: RNAcentral